This 453-nucleotide ribosomal RNA is filed under the name uncultured bacterium. RNAcentral's name for it is "partial 16S ribosomal RNA". It matches the Rfam family "Bacterial small subunit ribosomal RNA", at positions 355 to 797 of the family's 1533-position model. The record is from RNAcentral.
UGGGGAAUAUUGCACAAUGGGCGCAAGCCUGAUGCAGCCAUGCCGCGUGUGUGAAGAAGGCCUUCGGGUUGUAAAGCACUUUCAGCGAGGAGGAAGGUGGUGAGCUUAAUACGCUCAUCAAUUGACGUUACUCGCAGAAGAAGCACCGGCUAACUCCGUGCCAGCAGCCGCGGUAAUACGGAGGGUGCAAGCGUUAAUCGGAAUUACUGGGCGUAAAGCGCACGCAGGCGGUUUGUUAAGUCAGAUGUGAAAUCCCCGGGCUCAACCUGGGAACUGCAUUUGAAACUGGCAAGCUAGAGUCUCGUAGAGGGGGGCUAGAAUUCCAGGUGUAGCGGUGAAAUGCGUAGAGAUCUGGAGGAAUACCGGUGGCGAAGGCGGCCCCCCUGGACGAAGACUGACGCUCAGGUGCGAAAGCGUGGGGCAGCAAACAGGAUUAGAUACCCUGGUAGUCCA